This 100-nucleotide non-coding RNA is filed under the name Bacillus solimangrovi. RNAcentral's name for it is "Glycine sequence". It matches the Rfam family "Glycine riboswitch aptamer". Rfam says of the family: This family represents the bacterial glycine riboswitch. The record is from Rfam by way of RNAcentral. Lineage: Bacteria; Bacillati; Bacillota; Bacilli; Caryophanales; Bacillaceae.
AUGAUGAUAAGGGGAGAGACUGUAGCAAUUUUAGUGUUGACAGCGCCGAAGGAGCAAACGAGUUCGUGAAUCUCUCAGGCAAAAAGACUCUUAUUUGACG